RNAcentral lists this small RNA (91 nucleotides) under Ditylum brightwellii. RNAcentral describes it as "partial transfer-messenger RNA". The record is from RNAcentral. Lineage: Eukaryota; Bacillariophyta; Thalassiosirophyceae; Lithodesmiales; Lithodesmiaceae.
CAGCUCUUCAUUCGUACUUUACUGUCUCUGCUCUAGAAAACCUCGAAAUUUCUGGAUCAUUCGAGGGUAAGGAAUUCCUCAACAAGCUCGC